CAAUAAUUACUUUUUUUCAAUUUCAUUCAUACAUGUAUAAAAUAUUGCCUUUACAUGACAACUACAGUAAAUUCUUCAUGAUUGAAAUCAAAUAUUAAGUCAAAGUAACUUACAAAGUUUUGUUAUGAUAAAAAUACAAAAUGUUAAAAUGAAGGUGUGUUGUGUAUAUCUAAUUCCCUAAAAUAUGAACUAGUUGUUUUGUACAUAUAUAAAGUUUAUAUCAUGAAGACCUCAGAUAUCUAUAUCAACAGUUAAUAUAGGGAAAUUUAGAUAGGGAAAUUAGAUUUGUUGAAAUCAAGUAUAUGCUAAUUUUUACAUGUUAUUUUUUAGGCGACUACAGUCCUAAAAAUACUAAUACUAAUAUUAAAUGAGGCAAAGAAUAUCCAGGAGAUAGAUGAAUGUAUUAUUGUUUUAUUUCAAUAUAAAUACCAGCUGCUGUUAAAGAUACAUGUAUAUUCAACCUGUAUACUUGUCAAUUAAAAUUUAUAAUACAUAAAUAAAUACAUAUUUUUGAGUAAAUAUACAAUUAAAAGAAUUAGUUUAAACUAUUUUUAUUUUUAGUUUAACCAAUAACCCCAAUAACAAAUUCUAAGAUCUAUAAAUGAUAUAUUCAUUUAACCAUAUUUUAUCCAACCUAGUCAUUCAUGCCUCGUGUCUAAUGUUAUAUUCAUCUUACUCAAUAAAUGGUCAAUUCACUCACUUCUCACAACAGUAUAAGUAUCUAAAUGUGUCAAAUGAACUAAAAAUGAUAUGUGCAUUAAGUGUCAAAAGUUGUAUCAAUUUAUUAGAUAUAAUAAGAUGUGGUAUGAGUACUAAUGAGACAACUUUCCAUCCAAGUCACAAUUAAUAAAAUUAAAUUGUAUUUAACUUAGAUAGUUUGUUUUGUAUUGUUUUGAUUGCCAACAUUUCAGUUUAAGCAAUAGUUUUGUUGUUUUUGUUCAUAUUUUGGAAAACAGUUUUAAGUAAACAGUUCAAAAGUGGAACAAAACUUACAGAAUGAUAAAUGGUUAAGUUUUCAGUAUUUUUGUUGCCAAUGGGUAAUUACAAACAACCUUUUUAUGUAUUAUAAACUUUUCAUACCAAUUUUGUUCUACAUCAUAGUUUACAGCAGAAUGCAUUGAGUGUGUAGGUAACGGAAAUAUCUAUGGUUAACUUGCUUGCUAGCUGAACAGUGAAGUCAUUAUUAGGUUAGGUGAACUACCCUCUUUAAGAGUAGACUAGUCCGACAGAUAACCAAUCUAUCUGUCUCUAGGACUAGACUACUCCGAAAAAAGGGUAGUAUACCUAACCUAAUAAUUACUUCACAGUUCAGCUAACAAGCACGCCAACCAAAGAUUCUACCUUGACCUAAACAAUCAAUGCAUUGUGCGGUCAAGCCACAUUUGUUAUUAUUUUUCAUCAUUAAAUUAUUGUGAUGUCUAAAAUUUAAACAGCUUUGUGUCACAUCUGUUUUCAAUUUUUAUAUGUUACAUAUAAAAGAAAAUCACACUUGAUUAAAUAAAUUUAUGAAACAUUUUGCAUACAAUAAACUAUAUUGUACAUAAAUUGUAGAACUUUUAGUUCUUCAGAUAGAUAAUGUAAAAACAGCGUGGGAGAAUUUACAUAGUAAAAAUAAUCAUCCCAGUAACAAGCAGUAGAGGAUUUCAUUAUUAAUCAUAUAUGACAACUGUAUUUAAAACUACCACAAGUGUUUCACAGCAUUUAAGGGCAUAUGAUACAGUUUUGAACCUGUAUUUACAAGUUGAUGAAAAUUUGCAUAUAGGCUAUUUUUUACCUGAUGAUAUA
This 1785-nucleotide long non-coding RNA is filed under the name Mytilus galloprovincialis (Mediterranean mussel). Lineage: Eukaryota; Metazoa; Mollusca; Bivalvia; Mytilida; Mytilidae. The record is from RNAcentral.